AACGAACGCUGGCGGCAUGCCUAACACAUGCAAGUCGAACGAGAUCUUCGGAUCUAGUGGCGCACGGGUGCGUAACGCGUGGGAAUCUGCCCUUGGGUACGGAAUAACUCAGAGAAAUUUGUGCUAAUACCGUAUAAUGUCUUCGGACCAAAGAUUUAUCGCCCAAGGAUGAGCCCGCGUAGGAUUAGCUAGUUGGUGAGGUAAAAGCUCACCAAGGCGACGAUCCUUAGCUGGUCUGAGAGGAUGAUCAGCCACACUGGGACUGAGACACGGCCCAGACUCCUACGGGAGGCAGCAGUGGGGAAUAUUGGACAAUGGGCGAAAGCCUGAUCCAGCAAUGCCGCGUGAGUGAUGAAGGCCCUAGGGUUGUAAAGCUCUUUUACCCGGGAUGAUAAUGACAGUACCGGGAGAAUAAGCUCCGGCUAACUUCGUGCCAGCAGCCGCGGUAAUACGAGGGGAGCUAGCGUUGUUCGGAAUUACUGGGCGUAAAGCGCGCGUAGGCGGUUUUUUAAGUCAGACUGAGGUGAAAGCCCGGGGCUCAACCCCGGAAUAGCCUUUGAAACUGGAAAACUAGAAUCUUGGAGAGGUCAGUGGAAUUCCGAGUGUAGAGGUGAAAUUCGUAGAUAUUCGGAAGAACACCAGUGGCGAAGGCGACUGACUGGACAAGUAUUGACGCUGAGGUGCGAAAGCGUGGGGAGCAAACA
This 704-nucleotide ribosomal RNA is filed under the name uncultured Sphingomonas sp. RNAcentral's name for it is "bacterial SSU rRNA". It matches the Rfam family "Bacterial small subunit ribosomal RNA", at positions 28 to 774 of the family's 1533-position model. The record is from RNAcentral. Lineage: Bacteria; Pseudomonadati; Pseudomonadota; Alphaproteobacteria; Sphingomonadales; Sphingomonadaceae.